GCUAACAUGGCCUAGUGGUUUGAGUGCUGGACUAUGACUCUGGAGGCCAGGUUUCAAUUCCCAGCUUGGCC
Molecule: transfer RNA, 71 nt
Filed under: Phrynosoma platyrhinos (Desert horned lizard)
Lineage: Eukaryota; Metazoa; Chordata; Lepidosauria; Squamata; Phrynosomatidae
Description: tRNA-OTHER
Source: RNAcentral